GGGAUGUAGCUCAGCAGUAGAGCAUUUUUCUUGUGCAUGUAAAGCACUGGGUUCAAAUCCAGUACAUCUUA
This 71-nucleotide transfer RNA is filed under the name Neotoma lepida (desert woodrat). It matches the Rfam family "tRNA". Rfam says of the family: Transfer RNA (tRNA) molecules are approximately 80 nucleotides in length. Their secondary structure includes four short double-helical elements and three loops (D, anti-codon, and T loops). Further hydrogen bonds mediate the characteristic L-shaped molecular structure. tRNAs have two regions of fundamental functional importance: the anti-codon, which is responsible for specific mRNA codon recognition, and the 3' end, to which the tRNAs corresponding amino acid is attached (by aminoacyl-tRNA synthetases). tRNAs cope with the degeneracy of the genetic code in two manners: having more than one tRNA (with a specific anti-codon) for a particular amino acid; and 'wobble' base-pairing, i.e. permitting non-standard base-pairing at the 3rd anti-codon position. The record is from Rfam by way of RNAcentral. Lineage: Eukaryota; Metazoa; Chordata; Mammalia; Rodentia; Cricetidae.